RNAcentral lists this long non-coding RNA (1363 nucleotides) under Mytilus galloprovincialis (Mediterranean mussel). The record is from RNAcentral. Lineage: Eukaryota; Metazoa; Mollusca; Bivalvia; Mytilida; Mytilidae.
GGGAUUUUUAUUUUCUAAAAUUUUCAAAUGAAUAUAACUUGAAAACUGUAAGUGAUAGAUACAUGCAGUCUUCAGAAAUGAUUAAAGGACAAUAAAACAAAUCACAUGAAAUAUAGGGGGAGUCCCUGGGGGGUCAUCCCCACCCCCUUCAAUUUGAGAAUAUGCUUUUAUCUUGUAAACGGUCCAGAUCCCCACCCCUAAACCAUAUAUAUUCUUGAAUGGGACAAUAAAACAAAUCAAAUAAAAUUAAAGGGAAGUCCCCGGGGGUCAUCCCCACCCCGUUCAAUUUGAGAAUGUGCUAUUAUCUUGUAAACGGUCCAGAUCCCCACCCCUAAACCAUAUAUAUUCUUGUAGGGGACAAUAAAACAAAUGAAAUGAAAUAAAAGUGAUGUCCCUAGGGGCUCACCCCACUCCCUCUUGUUUGAAAACUUGUAAACGGUCAACAUCCCCACCCCUAAACCAUAUCUAUUCUUGUAUGGGACAAUAAAACUAAUCAAAUGAAAUUAAAUGGAAGUUCCUGGGGUCACCCCCACCCCGUUCAAUUUGAGAAUGUACUAUUAUCUUGUAAACGGUUCAGAUCCCCACCCUUAAACCAUAUAUAUUCUUGAAUGGGACGAUAAAAGAAAUCAAAUGAAAUUAAUGGGAAGUCCCCGGGGGUCAUCCCCACCCCGUUCAAUUUGAGAAUGUGCUAUUAUCUUGUAAACGGUCCAGAUCCCCACCCCUAAACCAUAUAUAUUCUUGUCGGGGACAAUAAAACAAAUGAAAUGAAAUAAAAGGGAAGUCCCGAGUGAGUCACCCCACCCCCUCUUGUUUGAAAACUUUGUAAACGUUCAACAUCCCCACCCCUAAACCAUAUAUAUACUUGUAUGGGACACUAAAGCUAAUCAAAUGAAAUUAAAGGGAAGUUCCUGGGGGUUGCCCCCACCCCGUUCAAUUUGAGAAUGUGCUAUUAUCUUGUAAAUGGUCCAGAUCCCCACCCCUAAACCAUAUUUAUUCUUGUAGGGGACAAUAAAACAAAUGAAAUGAAAUAAAAGGGAAGUCCCGAGGGGGUCACCCCACCCCCUCUUGUUUGAAAACUUGUAAACGGUCAACAUCCCCACCCUUUAACCACAUAUAUUCUUGUAUGGGACAAUAAAACAAAUCAAAUGAAAUGUAGGUAAAGUCCCUGGGGAUCACCACCACCCCCUCCUGUUUGAAUACUUGUAAAUGGUGGAGAUCCCCACCCGUAAGCCAUAUAUAUUCUUGUAUUGGACAAAAAAUCAAAUCAAAUGAACAUGGGACCAUAUAAAUGGUGACUUAUGGGAGCUUUGUUUGGGAGACUUCGUAACAGCAUCCUGUUACAAUUACUUCUUGUUUAUUUUAU